GUCUUUCCCAUGCUAUUCUCGAGAUAGUGAAUAAGUCUCAUGAGAUCUGAUGGGUUUAUCAGGGGUUUCCGUUUUUGCUUCUCUCCUCAUUUUCUCCGGGCGCUGCCAUGUAAGAAGUGCCUUUUGCCUCCCGCCAUGAUUCGGAGGCCUCCCCAGCCAUGUGGAACUGCUUGACUGGAUGACUGGAGACAGUGCGAGGUCGCCGAGUCCAUAAGCAGCAAGAAGGGCACACAGAGGGGGAAAGGAGAAGCUCACUGCCGGAGGAGGCAAACUUGACUUCACAAUGUUCUCUGGGGUGGGACCUGACUUUGACCCCAUGUAUAUAAAUGGGCUUGACUGAGUUAAUCCAUGCUUAUAAGUGUCCAGGUGCUUGUGUCUUAUGGUAAUGUUUUUUUUUUCAGUUGCCAUUGAAAGAUGUGAGAAACGAAACAUGAAAAUAUUUAAUAAUUCAGCAUUUCCAAGUGUCUAGACUACUGAACAUAUUAUCCAAGAAAUUAUUUAGAAGAAAGGGAAAGGAAAUAGGCGAGAGAUUUGAUGAGUACUGACUAUGAAUCAGUGGUUUUCAGAGUUUUAUUUCUCACAGAGUAGAUACUAUUUUCCCUGUUUCACAGAUGACAAAUGUGAGGGUCAGAUAGAUUAGGAAACGUGCCCAAAGUUUCACAGCUAGUCAAUGAGAGAAAGCAUUUUCCAAGCCAGGUUCACUUGGCUGCAAAGCACGCACUCUUUCUGAUACACAGCAUACUGCCUAGAUGUUUUAGCACAUUUGGAUUACAAAAAUGUUAGAAAUAAAAUUAUGUUUGUGAAAGGAUGGGCAUUUAAAAAGCUCUGGGUUGUGGUUGUCUGAAGUUGAAAUUAUAAAAUGAUAGUUCCCCCCAGCACGCACACACACACACACACACACACACACACACACACACACACACGCGUUGGUGAUUAUGGCUGAGUCACUGAAUUUAUUUGGAAGAACCAUCUUCUUUUGCAUGACAGAAUACAGAUGGCCAUAAACUAUUUACCCAGACAUUUUGGGGUUGAGGGAUGCAAUCAUCAUUUGAAACAAAAAUACAACUCUAGGAAAACAUAUGAAAGUGAAUUACAUUGUUAAUGUGAAAGGGAAAAGGGGGAAGAUGAAUAAAACAGCAAGAAUACAGCUGAAAAGAGACUAAAAGGAACAAGGGGAAACUGUCUUUGAGCACAAGGCAUAUGUGUAUGCUACACAGAGAGUUGGUUUAGAAAUGUUUAUAAACAAUGGAUGUUUGUGGAAUGGAAAAUUGAAUAGCUGUGAUAUUAAGGCUUUUCACUCCUGGGAAAAAUAUGGACACCGUGGCUUAUAAGUUAUUUGAUUCUGACAAGCAUCUUCCUACCUCCUCUAACAUUUGGUUAUAUUAACUAUAUUAGAGGCUUUUCCUUUUAUUAGUCUGUGUUUCUACCAUCUGAAAACAAUGAGCUUAAACAGCUAUCAUGCUGUCAUUUUACCCUGUGAAUAGGCUCUUUAAUAAAGAAACCUAAUGAAAUGAUUGUUUUAAAAAAGAAAAAAAUUUC
Macaca mulatta (Rhesus monkey) is the source of this 1539-nucleotide non-coding RNA. The record is from RefSeq and is a predicted model, not a curated record. NCBI's taxonomy places the organism in Eukaryota, Metazoa, Chordata, Mammalia, Primates, Cercopithecidae.